This is a long non-coding RNA of Homo sapiens (human), 3149 nucleotides long. RefSeq lists it as uncharacterized. The record is from RefSeq and is a predicted model, not a curated record. Lineage: Eukaryota; Metazoa; Chordata; Mammalia; Primates; Hominidae. The transcript has 2 exons.
AUUUCUGGCACUUAUGUGUGGGUGUGGGGAGCUACUACGUACCCGGCUUAAAGAACUGGAAGGCUCCGUCACUUUUCGCCCCCUGGAGCCUGGAGCUUGGAGCCUGGAGCCUGGGGCACUCCCUCCCUGUUGGUGGUGGUGGUGACGGAGCGGUAGGAGGGAGGCUAGCAGCGAGAGCUUCUCCUGCCGGGCUGGAAGACAGAAAGAAGAGGCACCGCCGCGUGCUGGAGGCUGGAGCCGGAGCUUGCGCCUCCGCGGCUCGCCUCGCUGCGGUUGGUGGUGAAAUCAGAGACCGCAGCUCGGCCACAGUGGUAGAAAUGUGGUAGGGUAGGUUUCUCUGGCUUUGCCUGCGCAACUGCUCCCAGCCAGGCUGGAGGAGGAGGAGGAGUCACCUGUGGUAUGCUGGAGCCUGUAGAUGGCGUGGCUCUGCAGCUUGCCUCAUGAGGUUGGUGGCAGCAACAGAGACUGCAGCUUGACCAGAGUGGUAGGAGGGCACCCGUGGGGGCCAAGUGAUAGGAGCCUUGUAGGGUGGGCUGGUGCAUUGAGGGCAACAGCGGUUGUACUGGCAUCGGCGCUAGCGUUGGUAGCAGCGGCAAGUCUGGGGGCUGGGAAGGGGAGUAGGAGCGCUCACUUGCCCAUCCUGUCCUGGGGUGGGGACGAACCUUAAGGUGCUAUAAUGCGGGCCUCAGUGGCAGUGGUGGAGGUGCAUGUAGGGUAAGGAGGAGUCUUCCUCCUUGUCCUGCAAUCUCUGGAGGGUGCCCUCCUCCUGCUGGCGCCUGAGCCAGGCAUGAGUGGCAGCAUUGUCUAAUUCUUAACAAAAUUCAGGGGGUGACUUUUUGUGUAUCUUUUCGCUUGUUUUUUGUUGUGAUACUCUUGGACUUAACUCAAAUUUCAUGAAUCGAGGAAAGGAUAAAAGGUAUAAUAGGCCUUCUAAUUCACGCACCUGUUCUUUUUCCUUUCUUCCAGUCUGUAUUUUCUUCUUCUUGUUCCUCUUCAUUUUCUUUUGCUGCUGCUGCUUCUAUUUGAUGUUUCUAUUCUUGUUUCUCCUCUUUUUGUUUUCUUUAUGCCAAGCAAUGACCUUAAACAACAAGCCCAAACUGAGUGAAAAAUAAACUUGUCACUGUGAUGUAUUUUUAAAAUAACUGGUCCCUUACUAUGUUUUAGAGAUGAGGAAACAAAUAAGUCGUAUAAUUAGUUGAAUAGCUAUGAUUUCAUUAUUGUGUUAACCCACUUAGGCCUAGUGUUCCAUUAUUGGAACGCUAAGCAUGUGGGAGUUACUUAUACUGCUCAAGGUCAUUGACAAGGUCUGAUUUUUCACUCAUGCAAAAAUUCAAAAAAUUGCAACCUCUGGCAUAAAUGGGCUAAUGAGUUGUAAGUAGUUAUCCAAGGAACCAAAAAGUGAAGCAUCACAUAAGAUAUUGGUAGCAAAAGGCCAUUUCAUCUCUCUCAAAUAUUUGUCUGGAGCUAUGUAAGAGUCACUGGGGUAAUAAGUUCUAAUUUAUGAGAUUAUUAAGUGAACCAUAUUCCCUUCAUUUUAUUUCUCUGCAACCAUUUUGAAGAGUAUCAUCAUCUGCAUGAGCAAACCUGGUUCAUCACCACAUUUUUGCAAGAGGCAAAUGAAGGGGGGAGAAUCAUGUGUAUAAUUUUGCAAGGCAGAGAUUCACUACCAAAAACAAGGCUUUAUUAACUUUUGCCUUUAAGAACCUGCAGUGUUGAGCUCUCUUUUAAUCGUAGUAUUACUACCUUUGGUAUGAACUCUUUUUUUUUUUAAACUGAUUACUCUAGAAGUUUAUGCAUUUUCUUAGCUGCCUUAAAGACAAUCUAUAUUGUAUCAUUUUUCAAGCCCACAGAAAUGUGUAAGGCCUAUAAUUCUGACACUUUCAGUUAUUUUUAAGGUUAUGAGCAUGUGAAAUACUGUUGAUAUAUGGAAGAAUGUGUGUAAAUACCACUAGAUAGCUUAUUUUGAAGAGAUAGUAUCUAAAUUUUUGUCCAGAGUAGAUUGGUUGCAGUUUCUUAAGUUUGUUUGUCAAUACAUUUCCUCAAUGUUUUAAACCAUAUAGAAAUUUGAAUACGUUUAACCUCAUAUAGCCCUUUAUUUAUAGGUUUAAUAUUUCUAAAGACUAAGGACAUCACAGCCUCCUUUAAGAUUCAGUAAUAAUAAAAUUUGAGAUAUGUAGGAUUAGAAUCCAACAAAUUCAGAGGAAAAUUGUUAAAUUAUAUAGCUGUAGAGCAGGAAUGAAACCCAGAUUCUAAGCUCUAAGGGGGCCAUGAGCUACCAUACAGGUGCAUCCGUGACUGGGCAUAGAGUCGGCAAAAUUACAGGAUGGUUAAGAGAGUGAGCUGUGGAGCCUGACUCUAUGUGAACAUGAAUUUUUAAACCGCAUGGUGCCUCAGUUUAUCCACCUUUACAGUAGGGACAGUAGUAAGUUCUUUUUUUGCUCAGUUGUCUGGAUUAUUUCCCUAAUCUUUCUUGUUGCCACUCUUGAUGCCCACAUGAGAGAAUCUAAGGUAAUUUCUGAUAGCCUGAGACUGCUGAAGGAAAAACAGAAGGUGCCACAAACCCAUUUUAGGAGAAACCUCUGUUUUCCUCAUGGAACCCCAAGAACUUUAAGCAGACAGGUCCCUCUCAAAAUCUAAGGCUCUCCUGUUUUGCCUUGCAUUAUCUGACCUUUUUGGUUUGAGUGGGCAUCAGAAAUUAGUAGAGGGAAGAGAUCUAAAGAAAGUUGUGGAUAUGAAGAUGUAUUUAUGGUAAGAAAUAUUAUGAAGGAAAGAAAUGUUAUGUGAGAGAGGAUCUUGUAUGGCAAAUUCUUGUCCUAAAGUAGAAUGACUAAUCACAACAGAGGGAAAUACAGGACAAGUCACAAAGUUAAAUCAUGUCCUAGAUGGUCUGUGGAAGUUGUGUUAGGGUUCAUAAAAUGUGAAAGAAAAACUUACAACUGCUAGAUCGUGUCCUGUCCAGAAGUGUUGUGUAUGUGAUGUAUAUAUAAAGGAGCUCUAAGUACUCGACUUAACAGAAAAUGAAAGCUCUUAAAUAUUUUGUCAGAAAAACAGAGGCUCUAAUGCCUUUUAUUUCACAUGACUUCACUAAUCUUUGGAAAAUAAAGACGGUGUUAAAAUCAUUGGUAGAAUAAAAAUAUCUUCAAAAUCUA